RNAcentral lists this ribosomal RNA (477 nucleotides) under Candidatus Scalindua marina (nom. nud.). Its description in RNAcentral is "bacterial SSU rRNA". It matches the Rfam family "Bacterial small subunit ribosomal RNA", at positions 365 to 832 of the family's 1533-position model. Lineage: Bacteria; Pseudomonadati; Planctomycetota; Candidatus Brocadiia; Candidatus Brocadiales; Candidatus Scalinduaceae. The record is from RNAcentral.
UUCGCAAUGCCCGAAAGGGUGACGAAGCGACGCCGCGUGGGUGAGGAAGGCCUUCGGGUUGUAAGCCCUGUCAGGAGUUAAGAAAUGUAAGUGUGCUAAUAUCGCAUUUACUUGACGAAGGCUCCAAAGGAAGUCACGGCUAACUCUGUGCCAGCAACCGCGGUAAUACAGAGGUGGCAAGCGUUGUUCGGAAUUAUUGGGCGUAAAGAGCACGUAGGUGGGUUUGUAAGUCAGAUGUGAAAGCCUCCUGUUCAACGGGAGAAUUGCAUCUGAGACUACUGAUCUUGAGUAUAGGAGGGGAGAAUGGAACUUCUGGUGGAGCGGUGAAAUGCGUAGAUAUCAGAAGGAACGCCGGCGGCGAAAGCGAUUCUCUGGCCUAUUACUGACACUCAGUGUGCGAAAGCUAGGGGAGCAAACVGGGAUUAGAUACCCCGGUAGUCCUAGCCGUAAACGAUGGGCACUAAGUAGAGGGGUUUU